GGCACCGAGCAGAGGAGGAAUCCGCGCGCGGCAUGUGGAGCGGACGGGUGUGUUUCAGGCUGGAAAGGACAAGUUCUAACGAAGGGGACACGGAGAACGACACCGCUCGGUGGUUUCCCAGCCUCUUUGACGAUGUUCCCCCCCAACACCCUGCUCAGAUGACUCCAGUACCCCUCCAUCAUCAACAACACUGCCUGUCAGACAUGGUAUGAAGACACGGAGCCCAUAUUGCCUGGGACCAGAGCCAGCUGUGUCAGACGCCGCCACAGAGGGCUAAAAGCAUCCUGGCGAGCUGCGAUGGGACCCGGUGAGGCCUUGGACGCGGGAAGACGUCGCCGCAGCAGCGCUCCCUUUCAGUCGCACCAACUCUAGACGGUAGAGAAGCCCAUUAUCUUGAGAUUGAUGUCCGCUGCGUCGUGGAGGCAGCCUCCAGCUGCGCCGCCAGGUCCGAGACAACCCCAUGGAGGCGUGGCCUCGACGUUUCCAACGCUGCUAACGCCAGCCGAGUGAACAGCGAUGCCUUCUAAGGUCUCCUGCUUGUACUUGCUGACCGUGGUUUGCUGGGCCAGCGCUCUGUGGUACCUGAGUCUGUCACGCCCCUCCUCCUCCGACGGGGGCCAGCUGACCAUCCCCAUACGCAAAACGCCAAAUGCGGGCAAGAACGGCACCUUCAGCAACAUCCGCACGCGCUCGCUCAACCCGCACGACUUCGGCUACCUCAUAAACGAGGCCAAGAAGUGCGAGGCGGAGCCCCCCUUCCUUGUCAUCCUGAUCAGCACCACCCACAAGGAAUUCGACGCCCGCCAGGCCAUCCGGGAGACAUGGGGCGACGAGAGCACGCUCCCGGACGUGCGCGUGGUCACGCUCUUCCUGCUGGGCCGCAGCACCGACGUCGUCCUCAACCAGAUGGUGGAGCAGGAGAGCCAGAUCUUCCACGACGUCGUGGUGGAGGAUUUCAUCGACUCGUACCACAACCUGACGCUCAAGACGCUGAUGGGCAUGCGCUGGGUGGCCACGUUUUGCUCCAAGGCCCAGUAUGUCCUGAAGACGGACAGUGACAUCUUUGUCAACAUGGAGAACCUCAUCUUCAACCUCCUGAAGCCCACCACCAAGCCCAGGAGGAGGUACUUCACCGGCUACGUCAUCAACGGCGGGCCGAUCAGAGACAUGCGCAGCAAGUGGUACAUGCCAAGGGAUCUGUACCCCGACAGCAAGUACCCGCCCUUCUGCUCCGGCACCGGCUACGUCUUCUCGGCGGACGUGGCCGAGCUCAUAUACCAGACCUCUUUACACACCCGGCUGCUGCACCUGGAGGACGUGUACGUGGGCGUGUGCCUCCGCAAGCUGGCCAUCCACCCGUUCCAGAACAGCGGCUUCAACCACUGGAAGAUGGCCUACAGCCUUUGCCGCUACCGCCGGGUGGUCACCGUCCACCAGAUCUCCCCGGAGGAGAUGCACCGUAUCUGGAACGACAUGACCAGCAAGAAGCACCUGAAAUGUUAGCAGGAUUAGCACUAGAGAGUCUAGGGAGGCACGGAAUGGUCCUUAUCGCCGGCGUCUCCGUUAUUGGCAAAUACUGUACCGAGCUGAAGGAGCUGUAUUGACUAAGCAUCCAUGGCUUUGUCCAGGCGCUGAUUGCUUUUCAAGGAGUCUCUAUAGUGCAAGACCAAAGCAGACUCCUCUGUAUUCUGUGUCCUUUCACACUCAGAACUCACAAAACAGCCACAAAGUUGGAAACACAUUUUCCCCCCAAAAAAAAAGAAAAUGUGCAAAAUGUUCAGGUGGUUGGUUGUCGUUGCCAGCAGCACGAUGAUUUUUACAGGAAAAUACCCGACAGGACGCUCAGAGGCUUGUAUCUGAGUACACAAACUGUCCCCGAUUGCUAAAACUGCAGAUUACAGAAACACGUUUCGCCUCUUGGGUCCAUCACGAGCUCUAACCAUGAAUGUCCCUCGUGUUACUUUCAGUUGUCGUGCUUUUCCGAGCGGGGUGUUAAUGUUGGAUGUAGUGUCUGGCGCAGCAGCAGCAGCAGCCGUCGUCAUGGCGAGGACCUUGGGGCCUCUCAGUUUGCAUGACCUCCUCAUGACCCGUCCUCCGAGGCUCCAGAGGAUGCGAGUUUACGGGGGAAAAUGGCCGUGGAAUGAUUCGGCGGCGUGCAAUCUGCCAUCUGUGCCCGGGCGCAGUUAUGCCAAGGUGAGAGAAAGGGGCUCGUCGAGACCAGCUGGGGGAGCCGGCAAACAAUCCUCUUCGUCCUCCAGGAGAAAAGUGGCACGCCGGGAAGCCGUGUGCUGCUUUGAACUCGGCCUGGAGGGGUUUUGGGGGUCUGCUGGAUGUUCUUUUGUUGCUCGAUAACUGACUGGGAUGUCUGGAGGUAGGUGCAGUUGUGUCUAAGUGUGUGAAUGUCGACACGUACGUUCAGAUUUCUUACGUUUUUGAUUGCUUUAAAAAAGGUUGAAUUGUAUUUCGCAUUACGUGUGUUUUUUGUAUUUUUCCGUGAUGUCUCACUCUUUUUAUACAAACGAGGCAAAAAUAAAAAUUACGAGGUGAACAAAUUAAAGACAUUUUAACAACCUCCCUCCAGAAUAUGACAUGAAAACCACAUUCAAGGAUCCCUUUAAUAUAAUUUACUUUCAUACAGAUUCAUUAUAAAAUCUGUACUACGGCUGUAUUAUCACAUACUUCUCCCUCAUUCUGUUCAGGAAGUCUGUUUGGAGAAAUAGCUGAAACCACAAUUGCCCCCCCCCCGUCUAGACCGCACACAGACGCAUUUUUCACUUACACACAUCCAUGAAUUCCCGCUCAUUUUAAUUUAUGCAGAUGUAUCCAUCGGCAAAGAGUGUGAAUCGGUGCAACCACGAGACGUCGUUGAGCAUAGAGUCAUAAAUGAGCACAAACAAUGUUAGGCUGAUGGGUCGAGCAGUAUGCAAGAUUAGCCGUGGACAGACGGACGGACACACACGCACAUAAUCUCCUUGCAGAGAUAAUAAACUUCCGUGGGACCUCUACCACUCAGAUCAAUAUUAGAUGUAUCUUGUAUUAUGCAUUCAUCGAUUCAUUUCAAUUCUGUUCACGUUAAGUUUUGACUCAAGGUUCUCAACGAGCACAGCGUCAGUCAGCAGUCGCUAGUUCUCCCCCCGGAGGAAGCAUGGCAGUGAGAGCGAUAUUUACUUGCCACUCAAAGGUGAAACCCUGACGCAGCUCAGCGAUUAAAAGCACAGAAGCUAUUAAUCUUUGUCCCGUCUGCCGCUCUCCAAACAUUUGAUAAAUAUACAGCAAACACAAGUCGAUUUUGGACGUCGGCGUGCCUCUGAGACUCAACAUUCAAAUUUGUUGUGAGAUUACUUCUCUGCAAAAACAAAUCAAUGGCAGUGGGGCAGAAUAAGCUCCAGACUUAUGCUUCCUGUUGUGUUGGCCUUUGCAAUUGCAAUCCUUUCAUAUUUAUUCCCAAAGUCUAGAAAUACAGAAUUUGACUUCCCGUUGAUGUAAUACGAGGACACUAAACCCUCGUUGUCUUAAUUAGAGUUAAGUGAAAUGAAGCUGCCGAGGCCUGAAGCUUCGUUGCAAGAUACUUUUGGGAAAACGGUUAAUUAGCUAUAAUGUUGCAUGUACUCAAAGAACCGAAUCAGACUGCCCUCCAAAACAUCAACUCUUUUUACAGUUGAAAUUCAGGAUUCUUAAUCUCUGACGGCCAAUUCUCCAACGUGAGAUCAACACAGACGUCUGUGGAAGGUCUGAAGUGGUCUCACGACAACAGAACCUCGUACAUUUUGUUGCUGUAAUUGGUGAGCUUCAGAUGCUUUCCCUGUUUUCAGUUGUUAUGCUAGGCUACGCUAAUUGUCUCCUGGCUCUACCCUGUUGAACACACGGAGACGUGAGAGUUGUAUCAAUCUUCUCCUCUAACUCCCGGCUACGAAGUGCAUGCAUUUCCUAAAAUAUUGAACUAUUGCUUCAUCAUAUUUGACAGCCACUCCCAAGCGUCUCUUUCUUCCUCACUGCCCUGUGUGAAGAGCCUCUUGGUCUUUUUCACUGGGUCAUUUAUUCCAAUAUAGUUCCAACAACUCACUGCGCUAAAGGCUUUUAACGUUGAUUUAUCGGGCUUGGUCUCGUUCUUUACACCUGGAAUAGAGAUCCGGAUUACCUCUGUCCACGCAGUUGCACUUAAAUGCUAUUGUGAGUUGAUUGGCUCAUUUUGGGGUGUAAUUAAUCUCUAUUAAAACCACAUCCAUCUCACUCCGUACCUGAACCCUCUCACUGCGCCUCAGAACACAAACCCUGGGGAAUGUGCCUGAAGAGACGGUGAAAAAUAAAGAGUUUAAAAGACAGAAAAACAAUUCACUCGUGACACGUAGAGGUGAUUCACAAGAGUAAUGGCAGGCUGUGUUUUCUCUUUAACUGCAUACCUGUCUGCUUCUAGCCUCUCCCUUUCUGAGCCCCGUCUCUCUCUGUCUCUGAUAAUCUGAGCUGGUCUUAAGCCUCCAUCUAAAUUGUACUCCCCCCCCCCCCCCCCCCCCCUCCGUCUGAUUCCGUCCUCACUGCGAGGCCCGAGAAAUCCUCAGCAGAUGACUGAGACUGUUCGUCUGUCUCCGUGCUGCUGACAGACAACACGGCGUUCAACGUGAAAACAAGGCUAUUUCGAGCAGAGAUGGAAUGCAUGAAUUUAUAGACGGAGUGUGUGUGUGUUUGUGUGUGUGUGUGAGAACCUCACAGACAUUUUUCUUUGCACUUGUUUGACAUUGUUUUCCGAAACCUGUCAACACGGAAUGCUUUGUUGAGAACAGCGUGGAGGGAAAUGCGAGCGUUUUGUGCCUGUCGCGCUGCUUUUAUCCUCGAGACGUUCACACACGCACGCUGCACACGGAUACGCAUCGGGAAAUAAGUUCCUGUUGAUCUGGAUCGCACAGCAGCCAUCUUACAUUUAAAUUUAACACACUAGUAGUUAAAUUUAGCACGGUAGAGAGAACAACCAAGUAUAAGUAUACAAACGUACCGAAUAGCUACAUGAAAUACCACUUUCUUGACCAAAGUUACUUUAACUUUCGACAAGUUAACACAAAUUCAGAGAUAAUUCAAUCAGGCGGAAUACCACCAUGAACAAUAGUACUUAAGUUCAGUACUUGGUUAAUUAUGCACUUAGUUACGGUACAUUCCACCUCAAACGUUGGCCUGUCUGACACUUUAUGAAUGCUGUUGCAUGCUAAACUCUCAUAAAUUCAUUUGGUGAGAUCCCAAAAUGACAGAACUGAGGUCAAACAUGUUCAGCAACUGAAUCUCCACUGAUCCGAUUAGUUUUUUAAGCAAUUCCCUUUCUGGACAUGAUGCCGUGCCACUCCGCCUGACCUCGUGUAAUCACGUCAGCUCCUCUCUCUCCACCAUUCUGGACCGAUAAGCUCGCGCUGUUUGCAGGCCUCUCCCCGUCCGUCACGCGAAUCCAGGCCGGGAACACGGCUAAAACAUGACUGACAGCGUGCAGCAAGAGUAGAUGAAAAAAUAAAAAAAAUCCCGCGCGGGGUCAAGGCUAGCUUUGCGGAAAGAAUAAUCAAUCACACCUCAGGUGUCCGGGAGAUUAACAGCUGCCAUUAUUCAUACUGGACUCCAGGUGCUCCGUGUUGACUGGAGGACUGGAUAGCAUCACCUCCACGGAGACAGCCCAUAAAAGUUUUUAGCCAUAAUCAAGCGGCAAAAUCGAUUCAACAAAGUGCUGCUACUCGGAGAAGUGAAGGUGGGGGGGCUCAAUUACCCAGCAUGCCGAGGUCAGAUGUGUAAAGGGGGAAACGCAAGGUCAAGCGUUGCAUUAUAUCUUCUCCCUCACUCCUAUCACUUCCAAUUUACUAAAUACAAGAGCGCUGUUCUUUCCUCCUCGAGCUCCGGAAGAUAAUCGACAAUGAAAUUAGGUGUCGGCGGGAUGGGGGGGGUGUGGAGGAUGUGACGGCUCGGGGCAGAUGGGAGAUAAUCGCAGGACACAAUAACUGGCAGCCAGGAGAAUCUGCCCCCGGGGACCUUCUUCAUGGUCGUAAUGAGCGUAACCUUGUCUGGCUCGGUGAAGAAAGUCAAAUACGUGCGCGCUAGCAUUUACUUUGGGUACGUGGACGCCCGUAAAUAAAAGCUCAAUAACAUCCCCGCUCUCUCACACUUAACGGAAGCUCAACUCCCCCCCACCCAGAGCAGUAUUGACUCACACACACACACACAUGGAAGGAGUGUACACCUCCCCAAUCAUGACAAAUCAUCCUUUUUCCACUGGCUGUCUCACCUCAGGGGCCUGUGACAACAGCGUCAGCCCAGAUGAGGGAGAAGGCUCACCGGCGUGGAGUCAUUGAACACGGCGACCUGCUUUGACUUUCAUGUUACCGGCGCUGCUUUAUUUCAUUUUUGUCCCGCUGAUUGAACAAAGUCUCUCAGAUCAUGACUUUAAUCAUCCCAGUUCAUCUUCUUUUCUUUUUGUGUAAGGGGGGGGGGGGAGGGGGUAGCUGAACAGCCGGCAAAUUGAAGCAGUUUAAUCUCAAACUUUGUGUGACACUGAGUUUCAAUGUUUUGACAUGUAUUGCUUUUUUUUUUAUUCUUGCAAUUGCAAAUUCAGGAUAACAGUAAUCAGUCCUUCCUCUGCAUUGCAUUGUGGUCUACGGAGACCGUGUCUACGUGUGAGACAUUGGUAUCUUUGCCUGUGGGACUGUCCAUCGCCGGAGCAGAGUGAUGCAUCUAAAGAGAAUACUCAAUGGGACUGAUGCUCACCUUUGUGUGAGACAUAGAGUGACCUAAAAGGAAAGCAUAUCCUCAACAUUAAUCUAAAAAUCCAAACGUAUAUUUUCUGUAUUGCAGGUCGUCACCAACAGCUGUUCUCUCUGCUGGAUCUUCUGGCUCUCCACAUUUUGAAAACCCUCUGAUGGUAAGCAGCUGCGCUGUACUGUGAUGGGAAGCGUGUGGAUUCCACACACGGUGACGGCGCUGAUCAGAGUUUGAUGAGGCGUACCUUCUCGCUCUCCGUGUCCAGGGCGGAGGUGGCCUCGUCCAGGAGCAGGAUCUUGGGGUCGCGUAUGAUGGCCCUGGCGAUGGCGAUGCGCUGCUUCUGACCGCGAGACAACUGAGAACCCUGGGCACCGACGUUGGUGUUGUAUUUCUGGAGGCAGGAGGAAAAAUGAUGGUGAGUCAUAUCUCAAUGCAGUACCAGCAACCGACAUUUUUAAUAACCUGUUAGCCGUGUAAACACCGAAAAAACCCAUCGAGCCGAAGAGCCAUAGACGAAUUCUAUAGUAAUUCCUUUCUAGUUAAUGUUGUAGAUGGGCCUCUGCGUUUGAGUCCUCGCCACAGACAGUCCACACCAACUGUCCACAGUACCUCAGGAAGCGACAUGACAAAGUCGUGGAGCUGGGCCUUCUUGGCGGCAGAGAUGACCUCAUUCAGGCCGAUUUCCCGCGAGUUGUCGCCGUACUUGAUGUUCUCCUCGAUGCUGCAGUCAAACAGGAUGGGUUCCUGGGACACGAUGCCAAUCUUGGAGCGCAGGAAGGGCACGUUGACGCGGGUCGAGACGUGGCCAUCAAUCAGCUGCAGGAAGCAAUUGAUUUUACCAUUAGGAGAAAGCAAUGUAAUAACCAAAGACUGGAAAUACAAUCCACUUAAUGAGCCAUCACGACACCAUCUCUGCCGUGAUUUCUCUCCCAACUAUGCAGAGGUGACACUGUCCUUUUUAAAUCUCAAACAGGGAAUCAGGACUCGGCGUUUCCAAACCACUUCCAACUCAAUUAAGGCCAUUUGAAUGUUUGGCAGGGAUCCCUUACUGGCACAAAGGCAAACCUCCAUCCUGGGUGGAGGGCCUCCUUUUUUUAAUAUAAAGCACAAAGUCAGCAUAAAUGUCUGAUUUCACUACAACUGAGCCUCGUGAGAGUGGAGCUGAAAGAAGACUAUACAUACGACUCAUUUCAUCACAAGAUACCUGACAUGUUGAUAAAGGGCAGCACUGAAUUUAACUAAACCUUGUGUAAAAUCAGAGCCCCUUUAAGAUUAACAAUAAAAAGUAAAAACUAUAUUUUCCCUCCAAUUGCGAUUAUUAAGUAGCAUAACAUAAGGCACUUUGCAUUCAAAGUGCAUCUGCAGCGCGUCCUCACCACUCGGCCGUGGUCGGGAUCAUAGAACCUCUCCAGCAGCUGCACGCUGGUGCUCUUCCCGCAGCCGCUGCUGCCCACAAAGGCCAGCGUCUGGCCGGGCUUCACCGACACGUUCAGCCCAUUCAGGACCUGGAUGUCUGGCCUGGUGGGGUAGGUGAACUUGCAGUCAAUGAACUCGAUGUUCCCUUGGAAGUUUUCCUGAAAACACAGCGGAGGGAGGGAGAGGGGGGGGAGACAGAACAAAGGUUAUAGGUUCCUCCGUGUGUUAGGGUUCCUCCUGUCCACCUCCUCUGGUAAUAGAGUUUCAUUUCACUCAAUUGUCUUUUGCAGGUUUUUUAUUAUUCAAAAUGCAUCUUUUAAAGGGCUCUGUGGAGUGUAUUCUUCUUUUGCAUGUACAAUAUUUGAUAGAAGGACUAACAAUCCUUCCUUGUCUCCUCCAUCUACACAUCUCUCUUUCAUGACUAAUGCAAAAUUAAUGAGCAAAGCAAUAAAGGAAUAAUAAAUUAGACUUUUCAUCGUGGAGAGAGCAUGCAGCACUCAUUUGUUUUUCAUAUGCUCAGCGUGCAAUGUGGUGGAAUAGCAGAUAAUACGUAGCAUAACAUAUGCCCUCGUACCCAUUUAUCUCCCUUAUCGCUGUAGACACUGAUCUGAGGCACGCGGUCCAGCAGCUGGAAAAAACGUGCCGCUGAGAUCUUGGCCUUGGCGUAGUCUGGCGUGUAAGAGGAGGCUCUGCCGAGGGCCGUGCCGCUGGUGACGAUGGCUGAGAUGACCCUGCCAGAGAAGCCAACAUAAUGUACCUAAUUAUUAAUAAUCACCUCCCCUGGAACAGUGAUUUAUGAGAAAAAUAAUGCGUUUUUUAAACAUUAAAGCAUGUAAACAUGACCGAGUACAAAGCCAAAAUACAAGUAUGACCCUGGAAUUAAGCAUUAUACGUAUGUCCCCUUUAAGUUUGGAUUAAACAGCAGUCAGGAUGAGGAAGCACACAGAAUGGCACCAGACCCGACAGCCUUCUCCUCUCACCUGAACACCAAGCUGAAGUGGAGCCCCUCCUGUCGCACCAAGUAGCCUCCGAACCUGUAGGAGGCGGAGUUGGUCAAAAAGAUGACGCACUGGGCGAACCCAUAGCAGGCCCCGUACACUUUCGCCUUCUUCAGGGCUGCUUGGUACGGGGCGUCUAGCUGGGCCUCGUACAUGUCCACAAAAA
RNA transcript from Anarrhichthys ocellatus (wolf-eel), 9303 nucleotides. It is a transcript of the gene named beta-1,3-galactosyltransferase 1-like, with no coding region annotated. Lineage: Eukaryota; Metazoa; Chordata; Actinopteri; Perciformes; Anarhichadidae. The record is from RefSeq and is a predicted model, not a curated record. The transcript is spliced from 6 exons.